UCCCAGGUGGCUCAGUGGUAAAAGAAUCUGCUUGCCAAUGCAGAAGAAUCAGGUUUGAUCCCUGGGUUGGGAA
RNAcentral lists this transfer RNA (73 nucleotides) under Bos taurus (domestic cattle). It matches the Rfam family "tRNA". From Rfam's summary of the family: Transfer RNA (tRNA) molecules are approximately 80 nucleotides in length. Their secondary structure includes four short double-helical elements and three loops (D, anti-codon, and T loops). Further hydrogen bonds mediate the characteristic L-shaped molecular structure. tRNAs have two regions of fundamental functional importance: the anti-codon, which is responsible for specific mRNA codon recognition, and the 3' end, to which the tRNAs corresponding amino acid is attached (by aminoacyl-tRNA synthetases). tRNAs cope with the degeneracy of the genetic code in two manners: having more than one tRNA (with a specific anti-codon) for a particular amino acid; and 'wobble' base-pairing, i.e. permitting non-standard base-pairing at the 3rd anti-codon position. RNAcentral also lists the same sequence under 3 other names. Lineage: Eukaryota; Metazoa; Chordata; Mammalia; Artiodactyla; Bovidae. The record is from Rfam by way of RNAcentral.